This is a non-coding RNA of Triticum aestivum (bread wheat), 135 nucleotides long. Lineage: Eukaryota; Viridiplantae; Streptophyta; Magnoliopsida; Poales; Poaceae. The record is from Rfam.
AAAGUACUCCCUCCGUCCCAAAAUUCUUGUCUUAGAUUUGUCUAGAUACGGAUGUAUCAAGUCACAGUUUAGUAUUAGAUACAUCUGUAUGUAGACAAAUCUAAGACAAGAAAUUUGGGACAGAGGGAGUAGUUG